CGCCUCUUGCUCCCCAUAAGAGGUCCAGCCUGCCCAGUGACAUAGUUCAACGGCCGCGGUAUCCUAACCGUGCGAAGGUAGCAUAAUCACUUGUUCUCUAAAUAGGGACUAGUAUCAACGGCACCACGAGGGCUGUACUGUCUCCUCUUUUCAAUCAGUGAAACUGAUCUCCCCGUGAAGAAGCGGGGAUUAAUAUAUUAGACGAGAAGACCCCAUGGAGCUUAAAAUUCAAUGUACACCUCUUCCCCCAAAAUCAAUUUAACCAAAGACAACUGUACAUAAAUUUUAGGUUGGGGUGACCGCGGAGUAUAAUAUAACCUCCUCGAUAAACGGGCUAACGCCCUUAUCUACGAAUUACUAUUCUAAGAAUCAAUAAUUUGAUGUUUAAUGACCCGAUAACUCGAUCAACGAACCAAGUUACCCUGGGGAUAACAGCGCAAUCUACUUCAAGAGUCCCUAUCGACAAGUAGGCUUACGACCUCGAUGUUGGAUCAGGGUGUCCUAGUGGUGCAGCCGCUACUAAUGGUUCGUUUGUUCAACGAUUAAAACCCU
RNAcentral lists this ribosomal RNA (552 nucleotides) under Sanguirana luzonensis (Luzon frog). RNAcentral describes it as "partial 16S ribosomal RNA". It matches the Rfam family "Bacterial large subunit ribosomal RNA", at positions 1817 to 2597 of the family's 2925-position model. Lineage: Eukaryota; Metazoa; Chordata; Amphibia; Anura; Ranidae. The record is from RNAcentral.